AGUGAACGCUGGCGGUAGGCCUAACACAUGCAAGUCGAACGGCAGCACAGUAAGAGCUUGCUCUUACGGGUGGCGAGUGGCGGACGGGUGAGGAAUACAUCGGAAUCUACUUUUUCGUGGGGGAUAACGUAGGGAAACUUACGCUAAUACCGCAUACGACCUACGGGUGAAAGCAGGGGAUCUUCGGACCUUGCGCGGUUGAAUGAGCCGAUGUCGGAUUAGCUAGUUGGCGGGGUAAAGGCCCACCAAGGCGACGAUCCGUAGCUGGUCUGAGAGGAUGAUCAGCCACACUGGAACUGAGACACGGUCCAGACUCCUACGGGAGGCAGCAGUGGGGAAUAUUGGACAAUGGUCGCAAGCCUGAUCCAGCCAUACCGCGUGGGUGAAGAAGGCCUUCGGGUUGUAAAGCCCUUUUGUUGGGAAAGAAAAGCAGCAGGUUAAUACCCCGCUGUUCUGACGGUACCCAAAGAAUAAGCACCGGCUAACUUCGUG
RNAcentral lists this ribosomal RNA (492 nucleotides) under uncultured bacterium. RNAcentral's name for it is "partial 16S ribosomal RNA". It matches the Rfam family "Bacterial small subunit ribosomal RNA", at positions 29 to 507 of the family's 1533-position model. The record is from RNAcentral.